Molecule: long non-coding RNA, 2559 nt
Organism: Priapulus caudatus
Lineage: Eukaryota; Metazoa; Priapulida; Priapulimorpha; Priapulimorphida; Priapulidae
Exons: 4
Source: RefSeq, a predicted model, not a curated record
UGUUGUUUCAGCUAGUUUAAGUAAAUUUACAACAUUGUUUCUACCAAUUUCCAGCUGUAUGGUACUCGGUAUGAAAAGUGGAGAGACUUUAAACAUUCUAUAGUUACGAGGCUGCGCCAUGUACAGACAAUCUCACAUGUGACGGGUGCUACUAUAAGGAAUACAACUGGAGAGACAUCUUGGUACAACGGUAGACAGCAGAGAUGGGCACACAGUAUUGGGGUGUGCUGGGACUUGUUCGUCGCAGUCGGAGCUAAGCUGAUAUUGGUUUAAUUGGCCGUAAUUCUGGCCGUAAUAUUGGCCGUAAUUCAACACCGGAAUACGCAUAAUAAAUACAACACUGGUGGGAAGGAGAGACACAGUCAAAGAAGUACUGCUAUAUAGAAGAUAAUUAAUAACCAAGAAGCCCAGAACACCAGCAUCUUUCUCCAGCAAAGUAAUGCCAAGUGUCCCAAACAGAAGGAAGCCGUGUAUAGCCAAUGCGGCCAUACCAGUGCUGCUGCAUCACACCUACAUCUUAUCCUAGGCCGUACACGACGCUUUGCAUGGCCGCUGGACGUGCGGAUUUGUACCCCCGGGUAUACGCCAUCUGUCGCAACCCUCACUCCUUAUACCACCUCUUCGGUACAUGUAUAUGUAGCAGGAUUCGGGUAGGAGUACGUGCACAGGUGUAGUGAUGCACUGGCCCCCUACUACAGUAUGGCCAGUUCAGCGUAUAACCAUACGUAGAUAAUAGCAACUCUGUACCUUAGGUAGUGAUGCACCGGCCGCGGAUGCGGGCACCGCCCCCCUACAUUAAGCAUUCAAUAUAGGGCUAGCAGCAUCAUGUCAAUCACCAGCGCGUGGCCUCCGACGACAGUCACCAUCGCGCAGGCCGCGCGCUUCCUCCCUUUAGGAAUCAAGUUCAGAGGGUGGGUCAGGAUCGGUUUACGUUCGCGUGUGCCAGGGGGGGUGAGACAACACCUUGGCUGGUCAGAGCAUGGGAAAUCACACCUCCCCCCUCCCAAGAGCAUGGGAGUUAGGGUUGGGGUGUCCGGCUCGCAGGUUUACCCUGGCACAAUCGCAUAGGUUGAAUGACGUCGUCGAUGCUAGGGCGAGCUACAAUCUUAUAGGCCUACGUGCUGCCAUAUUUUGGGACUAAAUUUGGGGGGAGUUGGUCGCUCCCAUGGCGUCGCACUCACGCGGCCUGUGUGGGCUGUUGCUCGGCUCCGCGAGUCUGCGCGCUUACGGGGGCGGGCCGUUCCGGCGCGCGCAAUCAUCCCCGGCCGGACGCGCAAACGUACGCAUGUCGCGGCCGGGCGCGCACAGGGCUCUCCUCACCCAUAAUGUACCAACAAUAUACUCGGGUGUUUGUGUCUAUAUGUUGUUAACCGCGCGGAAAAUUUGGUUGCACGGUUUAGUUCGAGUUUCGCUCGCCAGGGACUUUGGCGCUUACGAGACGUUAACUACUUAUGGAGACAGCGUCAUUACCGUGCAAGAACCACCUGGGAAGAGCAGGCCAAGUGUGUUGCGCUCAGGACUUCAGGCUGAACAGUCUGGAGUUUGGAGUCCCACCUUGAUCACUUAUGUUGUGCCCAUGAGCAAGGCAUUUUAUGGAAGGUUUGCUUGGAGAAGGGAGUGACUUUGUCACUAGUGAGGAGAUAAGCUUUCUCUGCCACCCCUAGCUACAGGUUGUCCUUAGGCAAGGCAUAGCACCUGUUUAGCCUCCCGUGCCAGGGUUACGGUGAAGAUGUCUAAUAUAGUGGAGAUGGACUGAACACAGCAUUGAACAUAACAAAAUUGGAGGGAAGGAGAAACAUAGCUAAAGGAGUGCUGCUCUACUAGAUAAUCCACAUCAAAGAAGGUAAAUAUCUUUCUCCAGCUAAAUAUCUGCUAGUGACCCAAGGAAGAUGAAGAAGAAGAAGAAGAAAAGAUGAAUAAAGAGAAGAAAAAAAUGAAAAUGAAGUUCUAAGGAAACGCCGCUGACGACGAAGAAGAAGAAGAAGAAGAAGAAAUAGACUAUGAUGACGAUGUGGGCAACGACCAAGAUGAUGACUUCAACAAUGAAGAGGAAGCAAAAGAGGAAUGUCUGAUCAUAGAUGGAAGAGGGAUAAUUGGUGCCAGGGUGUUGAGUCAUGAGGCUGGGAUUGGAGCAAGAUGUCUUUUUUCCUCCAUUCAAACACCAUGCAUGCUUAUCAUUUAGACCAGCAAUACACAAACAAGGAACCAGGAAGGAACCGGAACAAGGAUCAAGAAACCAAGCACCAGGACGAGGAACCAGGAACCAGGACUUCAGACUCACUUCUGCUGAACACUGCCACACCCACGGAUCAGCACACGCCGGCAAUGAGCCACCAAAUCAUGUAAAAGGACAUUUGUGAAGACAUAGACACAUCAUCAAGCUUACGGGAGGCGUGAGUGCAUGAAAUCGUUGAAGCCACGAAUGCUAUUGCAAUGAUGCACUACGUUAACGUGAAACUGUCUUGUUACCAUCUGCAUGUUGUUAAUCGAAUCCAGAGUAGUUUUCCAUUGAGUUCGUUUUUAGACAUCAGUAGUUCAAUGUUCGAAGUAUUUGACUAG